UCUAAGUUCCUUGGAACAGGACGUCAUAGAGGGUGAGAAUCCCGUAUGUGACUGGAAGCCUUCGUCCAUGUGAAACUCCUUCGACGAGUCGAGUUGUUUGGGAAUGCAGCUCAAAAUGGGUGGUAAAUUUCAUCUAAAGCUAAAUACUGGCCAGAGACCGAUAGCGCACAAGUAGAGUGAUCGAAAGAUGAAAAGCACUUUGGAAAGAGAGUUAAAAAGUACGUGAAAUUGUUGAAAGGGAAGCGCUUGCAACCAGACUUGCUCGCGGUUGCUCAGCCGGUGUUCUCACCGGUGCACUCUUCCGCGAUCAGGCCAGCAUCGGUUUGGGCGGCUGGAUAAAGGCUCUGGGAAUGUGGCUCCUCUCGGGGAGUGUUAUAGCCCAGGGUGCAAUGCAGCCCGCCCGGAUCGAGGACCGCGCUUCGGCUAGGAUGCUGGCGUAAUGGUUGUAAGCGACCCGUCUUGAAACACGGACCAAGGAGUCUAACAUCUAUGCGAGUGUUUGGGUGUCAAACCCAUGCGCGUAAUGAAAGUGAACGGAGGUGGGAACCCUUAAGGGUGCACCAUCGACCGAUCCUGAUGUCUUCGGAUGGAUUUGAGUAAGAGCAUAGCUGUUGGGACCCGAAAGAUGGUGAACUAUGCCUGAAUAGGGUGAAGCCAGAGGAAACUCUGGUGGAGGCUCGCAGCGGUUCUGACGUGC
Molecule: ribosomal RNA, 697 nt
Filed under: Sarea resinae
Lineage: Eukaryota; Fungi; Ascomycota; Sareomycetes; Sareales; Zythiaceae
Description: partial large subunit ribosomal RNA
Rfam family: Eukaryotic large subunit ribosomal RNA
Source: RNAcentral